RNAcentral lists this ribosomal RNA (253 nucleotides) under uncultured bacterium. Its description in RNAcentral is "partial 16S ribosomal RNA". It matches the Rfam family "Bacterial small subunit ribosomal RNA", at positions 524 to 776 of the family's 1533-position model. The record is from RNAcentral.
UACAGAGGGUGCGAGCGUUGUCCGGAAUCACUGGGCGUAAAGGGCGCGUAGGUGGCGACCCAAGUCGAUGGUGAAAGCUCGCCGCUCAACGGCGAGUCGGCCACCGAUACUGGGUUGCUGGAGCACUGUAGAGGCUCAUGGAAUUCCGGGUGUAGCGGUGGAAUGCGUAGAGAUCCGGAAGAACACCGGUGGCGAAGGCGGCAUCCUGGACCGAUACUGACGCUGAGGAGCGAAAGCCAGGGGAGCAAACGGG